CCUAAUUCUAACCCUAACCCGACAGAUGAUGACGUUUCACAGCCAUAAGGAAUAACCAAUCAGAGCCCAGCACUUCUAGCCAAUAAGAGGCGUUUGUCAGUUUGUUGACAGCACAGGCGUAAAUACAACGCUUCUUCUUCUGCGGUUGUUUUGGCGAAAUCAGACAACUUUACGCAUGUCCAAAUGAUUCUAAUCUGAAUAAAGCUUGGUGUAUGUAUACGCACGUCAUGAUCGGAUUGUUUGAUUUUGCACAGAUUUUCUAAACAUGGCUAUUGUCAUCCCACACCAAAACAGUGGACAUGUAUCUCUAACACAUGGUUCUUAUCAAAUGCACAUUAUUUAGCUGCUUCCAACCCGUUU
This is a non-coding RNA of Xyrichtys novacula (pearly razorfish), 360 nucleotides long. The record is from the annotation of a GenBank genome assembly. Lineage: Eukaryota; Metazoa; Chordata; Actinopteri; Labriformes; Labridae.